Molecule: ribosomal RNA, 484 nt
Filed under: uncultured bacterium
Lineage: Bacteria
Description: partial 16S ribosomal RNA
Rfam family: Bacterial small subunit ribosomal RNA
Source: RNAcentral
AUUGAACGCUGGCGGCAGGCCUAACACAUGCAAGUCGAGCGGAUGAAGGGAGCUUGCUCCUGGAUUCAGCGGCGGACGGGUGAGUAAUGCCUAGGAAUCUGCCUGGUAGUGGGGGAUAACGUCCGGAAACGGGCGCUAAUACCGCAUACGUCCUGAGGGAGAAAGUGGGGGAUCUUCGGACCUCACGCUAUCAGAUGAGCCUAGGUCGGAUUAGCUAGUUGGUGGGGUAAAGGCCUACCAAGGCGACGAUCCGUAACUGGUCUGAGAGGAUGAUCAGUCACCCUGGACCUGAAACCCGGUCCGGCCCCCUCGGGGGGGCGCCAGGGGGGAAUUUUGGACAAUGGGCAAAGCCCUGACCCACCCAUGCCGGGUGUGUGAAGAAGGUCUUCGGUUUUUAAAACACUUUAAGUUGGGAGGAAGGGAAGUAAGUUAUUCCUUUGUUUUUUUGCCUUUCCCAAAAAAAAAACCCCCGGCUAACUUCGUC